GCCAGGCACAGCAGUGUAUGCCUGUAAUCCCAGCUACUUAGGAGGCUGAGGCAGGAGGAUCACAAGUUUAAGACCAGACUCUG
Molecule: small RNA, 83 nt
Filed under: Marmota monax (woodchuck)
Lineage: Eukaryota; Metazoa; Chordata; Mammalia; Rodentia; Sciuridae
Source: RNAcentral